GCGGGUGUAGCUCAGUUGGUUAGAGCGCCAGAUUGUGGCUCUGGAGGUCGUGGGUUCGAAGCCCAUCACUCGCCCCA
Molecule: transfer RNA, 77 nt
Filed under: Patescibacteria group bacterium
Lineage: Bacteria
Description: tRNA-His
Rfam family: tRNA
About the family: Transfer RNA (tRNA) molecules are approximately 80 nucleotides in length. Their secondary structure includes four short double-helical elements and three loops (D, anti-codon, and T loops).
Source: RNAcentral